AUCGCCUAAGUCUCGACCAUCUUACCUAAAUUGUAUUAAGGGGUCAUAAUAUAAUAUUUAAGGUA
RNAcentral lists this transfer RNA (65 nucleotides) under Orthetrum cancellatum. Its description in RNAcentral is "partial tRNA-Tyr". The record is from RNAcentral. Lineage: Eukaryota; Metazoa; Arthropoda; Insecta; Odonata; Libellulidae.